UACGUAGGGUGCAAGCAUUAUCCGGAGUGACUGGGCGUAAAGAGGUGCGUAGGUGGUUAGUAAGGUGAAUAGUGAAACCUGGUGGUCCAACCAUACAGACUAUUAUUCAAACUCACUAACUCGAGAGUGGUAGAGGUAACUGGAAUUUCUUGUGUAGGAGUGAAAUCCGUAGAUAUAAGAAGGAACACCAAUGGCGUAGGCAGGUUACUGGACCAUUUCUGACACUAAGGCACGAAAGCGUGGGGAGCGAACCGG
Molecule: ribosomal RNA, 255 nt
Filed under: uncultured bacterium
Lineage: Bacteria
Description: partial 16S ribosomal RNA
Rfam family: Bacterial small subunit ribosomal RNA
Source: RNAcentral